This 492-nucleotide ribosomal RNA is filed under the name uncultured bacterium. RNAcentral describes it as "partial 16S ribosomal RNA". It matches the Rfam family "Bacterial small subunit ribosomal RNA", at positions 29 to 507 of the family's 1533-position model. The record is from RNAcentral.
AGUGAACGCUGGCGGUAGGCCUAACACAUGCAAGUCGAACGGCAGCACAGUAAGAGCUUGCUCUUACGGGUGGCGAGUGGCGGACGGGUGAGGAAUACAUCGGAAUCUACUUUUUCGUGGGGGAUAACGUAGGGAAACUUACGCUAAUACCGCAUACGACCUACGGGUGAAAGCAGGGGAUCUUCGGACCUUGCGCGAUUGAAUGAGCCGAUGUCGGAUUAGCUAGUUGGCGGGGUAAAGGCCCACCAAGGCGACGAUCCGUAGCUGGUCUGAGAGGAUGAUCAGCCACACUUGAACUUAGACACGGUCCAGACUCCUACGGGAGGCAGCAGUGGGGAAUAUUUGACAAUGGACGCAAGCCUGAUCCAGCCAUACCGCGUUGGUUAAGAAGGCCCUCGGGUUGUAAAGCCCUUUUGUUGGGAAAGAAAAGCAGCAGGUUAAUACCCCGCUGUUCUGACGGUACCCAAAGAAUAAGCACCGGCUAACUUCGUG